Molecule: long non-coding RNA, 238 nt
Filed under: Anser brachyrhynchus (Pink-footed goose)
Lineage: Eukaryota; Metazoa; Chordata; Aves; Anseriformes; Anatidae
Description: lncRNA (ENSABRG00000012352.1)
Source: RNAcentral
CUUUUUUUUUCUUUUUUUUUCUUUUUUUUUUUUUCUUCUGCCAGGUUUCGAAAGAACAGGGAACCUGCUGUCAAAUGAUAGACUGGGAAUCAGAGACAGCUCCAAACUCAGUGUGUGAAGUUUCUAGGCCCUGUUUGAAGGCAGCAGAUGGAGCUGCCUGCCCUGAUCGUAAACAGCAACUGCCUGGAACCAAGUUAACAGCUUCACAUUCUCUUCCUUCAACCCAGCCUCUCGUCAG